Molecule: ribosomal RNA, 497 nt
Filed under: uncultured bacterium
Lineage: Bacteria
Description: partial 16S ribosomal RNA
Rfam family: Bacterial small subunit ribosomal RNA
Source: RNAcentral
GAUGAACGCUGGCGGCGUGCCUAAUACAUGCAAGUCGAGCGAACGGACGAGAAGCUUGCUUCUCUGAUGUUAGCGGCGGACGGGUGAGUAACACGUGGAUAACCUACCUAUAAGACUGGGAUAACUUCGGGAAACCGUAGCUAAUACCGGAUAAUAUUUUGAACCGCAUGGUUCAAAAGUGAAAGACGGUCUUGCUGUCACUUAUAGAUGGAUCCGCGCUGCAUUAGCUAGUUGGUAAGGUAACGGCUUACCAAGGCAACGAUGCAUAGCCGACCUGAGAGGGUGAUCGGCCACACUGGAACUGAGACACGGUCCAGACUCCUACGGGAGGCAGCAGUAGGGAAUCUUCCGCAAUGGGCGAAAGCCUGACGGAGCAACGCCGCGUGAGUGAUGAAGGUCUCCGGAUCGUAAAACUCUGUUAUUAGGGAAGAACAUAUGUGUAAGUAACUGUGCACAUCUUGACGGUACCUAAUCAGAAAGCCACGGCUAACUACGUG